RNAcentral lists this small RNA (1610 nucleotides) under Pan troglodytes (chimpanzee). Its description in RNAcentral is "processed transcript". Lineage: Eukaryota; Metazoa; Chordata; Mammalia; Primates; Hominidae. The record is from RNAcentral.
GGCCUCAGUGCAUGGGCGCUGUCCAACCUCUGGUGCUGAAGCAGCCAAGAGACCCAAGCCUGCGUGGCUGCCUCUUAGGAUAUGACAGCACAGCCACUGGCCUCUACUGAAUCCUAUGCAACCUCAGAAGACACCCAGGAGUGAUGCCAUCACGUGGUGCAAGAGUUCUGAGGGACCGCAAUCCUGAAGACAUUGAAUGGUGGGUGCAGGGCCUCAUGGCCUGUUCCCCAGCUCCUCUCAUUGGCUCUGCUCCAGGUGGUGAAGGGGGAUAACAUUUCUGUCAGUUCUGCCAUGAUUGCCUAGCAGGAAAAGGAGCAGAGCCCAGAAGCAGGGCCUGGUAUGCAGCCUGCCUAACAAGGGAGAAUUUAUAGGCUCUGUGGACAGAAAGAUCUGGGAGUCCAUAUCUAUCACCCACUAGCUUGCUGAGACAUUAGUAAAGUCAGUUUUCUGAACUACAUUUCUGUCAUCUGUAAAUUAAGAGGAAUUUCUUCUACCCCACAAGGCUUCUUGGAUAAUUAGUGACAGUGUGUGUAGAGUAGGUGCCACCCAGCCAGCAUUUGGUGUCCAGAACACUCCUAUUCCCCCUUGAUUUUCUGCCUAAAUUUGCAUUUUGUUCUUAAGAUUUUCACUCCCCUUAAUUCUGCUCUUCCCUCUGAUUUCUGCCUUACUGUAUAUCCCAUGGAGUCACCAGGAUCAAAGUGGGUAACAGUCAUGUAUGCAUGUAUGUGUGUGUACAUAUACACAUUGUUGGGGUUGGAGUGUGGUGUGUGGGUAAGUGUAUGAGUUGGAAUCACUGACUGAAACUCUCCACACCAGGCUGUGUUCCUGCUCAUUGCUGGAGGUACUGUCAGGGGCCCUGUCCUCAACCCCGGGUCUGACCCUUGCAGAUCAGGCAGGACAUUCUGGAGGAAUCAUGCCCUUGGAAGGAUCCCUGAGGAGUGACUGUUGUUAGAUUAAAAAACAGUGGCAAAGAGCAAUACAGAGAGUUGCCAAAAUUCACACCGCUGGUCCAGGUUUGAAGCAAGCAGUCUGUACCUGCAGUCCUUGUCUGUAACCAUGGCACCCUGGCUUCUCACACAUCUCAUCGUGGAGUUCCACCAUGUGUCAGGCAUGGCACUGAGCACCUUCUUUUAAGAAUAUAAUUUGUAAUUAUGUAGAUUAUUAAUUCUACUUCAAAAUGCCACACAGCCUUCAUGUGAUAAAAUGAAACAAUUGCUCAACUGAUCUCCUGGGAUCUCUACUAAGAUGUUGGCAGCCCGGCCAGCUGGUCUGGCCCUGGACGUGCCUUCAGGGUCUGGUUAUGCUUCAUGACCUGCACUGUGGUCAGUGCCAUUUUGCAGACUCUGAUCACAGUGAAACAUUCCAUGGGAACUUGGGCCAUGAGAAACAUCCUUCCUAACCACGUGACUGCAGAAACAUCCUUAUCGCGUCCUCCUGGGCAAAGGUCCAACAGCCUGACUGCAGGGACAUCCUUGCCAUAUCCUGCUGGGCAGCAAGCUCUACCACCCAGAUCCCUCCCUCCCAGUCCCAUGAUUACCCCAGCCUGUGAGUGGCAGUUGGUGCUGGCACUAAGCUGGUUUCCUCCUCCCCAGGGUUUUGCUGGCAAUAAA